Manihot esculenta (cassava) is the source of this 1086-nucleotide long non-coding RNA. RefSeq lists it as uncharacterized. Lineage: Eukaryota; Viridiplantae; Streptophyta; Magnoliopsida; Malpighiales; Euphorbiaceae. The record is from RefSeq and is a predicted model, not a curated record. The transcript has 3 exons.
AGGAAGGCUAGUUUGGCACAGCUUCUGGGCACUGGACUAUGACUAGGACUUGUUUGCUGUUUGUCUGAAAUUGAGGUGGUAUCAGCGUGGUCUCUAGGAAUGGUAGUGCAAAAGGCUCUUCUCCAACCUGUACCCAUUAUGAAGGUGGAGAAGAUAAAGAAAAAAGUUUUGUUUUGAUCGAUCUGAGGUUGCCACAGAAGACAAAAGCGCAGAGCAGUAAGAGCAUGGGAUCAAACGAAAAGAAAAGCAAAGAGACAAAGAAGUGGAUUUAAAGAGAUAAAAGAACCCCAACACACACCCAGGCCUUUCUUUCUAUUUCUACUUCUCUUUUGCUCUCAUUUCAUAUUUCAACUUUCUAUUCUAUACUUCUCUCUCUUUCCAUCGAUAACCCCAAAAAGAUAUCUGGCAACCUCAAGGCUUGAGAUCUACUGCUUCUGUUUCUCUGUGUUUGAUAUAACACAGUUUCUCUCCUUUGAAAUAUAUAUUCCUUGGAAAUGGUAAAUCAAGACUUUUCACCCAGGUGACCGCCACGUGUUGGUUUUUUUUUUACCUAGCCCGUCAACGUUCCAGCCCCAACUGUAUACCACGUUUUGGCCACCGACCUGUAAACUAGUCACAAUCUCUUACAUGCUCCCAUGCUCUUUUAAGGAUCUCGUUUCACGCGCCGUGCCGGCUCUAACUUCACGUGAUUCUCCAUUCAUACAUGCGUGGGAUUCACUUUCGUAACUGCGGCUGGAAACUGAACUAGAACUGUCGUUCUUGUCUCUGUCAUUCAAUGCAUGAUAUAUGUAUACAUGGGUUUGAUAGUUGUGUGAAGAAUCCCGCGCGGCCGAGAGCAAUACUUGAAAUUUGUAAUCAGACAUUUCAGCCGUUCAUCAAUACGAUAUACUGACAGGUUAAAACUGGCGCGGGACCACAGGAGUGGCGGUCGACGAAAAUACAGGUUUUACUUCGAUUAAAAAAAAUAAAAUAUGGACAGCUAGAUAGUAAUAUUUAGGAAUGAAAGAAAAAUAGAGAGUAAAAAAGGAGAAAAUAAAAAUUAAUGAAGAAGUUUCUUUUUAAUUGUUUAGAUAUUAAAAAAAUAAG